RNAcentral lists this ribosomal RNA (455 nucleotides) under uncultured bacterium. Its description in RNAcentral is "bacterial SSU rRNA". It matches the Rfam family "Bacterial small subunit ribosomal RNA", at positions 30 to 507 of the family's 1533-position model. The record is from RNAcentral.
CUGAACGCUGGCGGCGUGGCUAAGACAUGCAAGUCGAACGGGUGUAGCAAUACACCAGUGGCGGACGGGUGAGUAAUGUAUCGCUAAUGUGCCCCGGAAUCCGGGAUAGCUAGCCGAAAGGCUAGGUAAUACCGGAUGAUAUGUCCUGAUGGCAUCAUCGGGACCUCAAAGGAGCAAUCCGGUCUGGGAGCAGGCGAUAUCGUAUCAGCUAGUUGGUGAGGUAACGGCUCACCAAGGCGACGACGCGUAGCCGGGCUGAGAGGUUGGCCGGCCACAUUGGGACUGAGACACUGCCCAGACUCCUACGGGGGGCUGGCAGUAACGAAUCUUCCGCAAUGCACGAAAGUGUGACGGAGCGACGCCGCGUGUAGGAUGAAGUCCUUCGGAUGUAAACUACUGUCAGGGGAAAGAAAGUUCUGAUCUACCCCAGACGGAAGAGACGGCUAACUCUAGUG